Tarenaya hassleriana is the source of this 1310-nucleotide long non-coding RNA. RefSeq lists it as uncharacterized. The transcript has 2 exons. Lineage: Eukaryota; Viridiplantae; Streptophyta; Magnoliopsida; Brassicales; Cleomaceae. The record is from RefSeq and is a predicted model, not a curated record.
AAAGUAUGCAUUCUCAAAUGAGAUGGUCUGUUUUCUAUUGGGAAUAACGGCUAAAUAGACCCUCGAAUGGGUUUCGCUAUCUGUGGCAUGUCUCGAAACAUAAUGAAAAAUCUGUUACAUGCCCCGAAACGUAAUGUAAAAAUCUGCAUUUUAAAAUGAGAUAUAUUCAGCAGGUUUGUUCUGUUGGGUUUAUGGCUAAAGAGACCUUGGAAUGGGAACACUAUCUGCUACAUAUCCCGAAACAUAAUGAAACACCUGUAUUCUCAAAUGAGAUGCAGUUUGUUCUAUUGGGAAGGCUGGCUAAACGAACACUGGAAUAGGAACGAUAUCUGUUGAAUGUCCCAAAGCAUAAUGGAAAACUAUGCAUUCUCAAAUGUGAUGGUAUGUUCUAUUGGGAAUAAUGGUUAAAGAGACCCUAGAAUGAAAACACUAUCUGUUACGUGUCCUGAAACAUAAUGAAACACUUGUAUUCUCAAAUGAGGUGCAAAUACAUAUUUGUUCUAUUGGGAAUGAUGGCUAAACAGACAUUGGAAUGGGAGAGUUUUUGUUAAAUGUCCCGAAACAUAAUGCAAAAGUAUGCAUUCUCAAAUGGGGUCUUUUCUAUUUGGAAAUUGGAAUAAUGGCUAAAGUGACCCUGGAAUGGAAAUCUGUUUACAUGUCCCGAAACAUAAUGUUAAAAUCUCCAUUCGCAAGUGAGAUGCAAGCAGAUGGUAUGUUCUAGUACGAAUAAUAACUAAACAGACGUGGAAUGGGAACACUAUCUAUUACAUAUCCCGAAACAUAAUUAAAGAAAUCUGUAUUUUCCAAUGAGAUACAAAUACAUGGUAUGUUCUGUUGGGAAUAAUGGCUAAGCAGACCUCGGAAUGGGAAUACCAUCUGUUACAUUCCCCGAAACAUAAAACCAAAAAACUGGAAGUGGUACCAUCAUCAUCACCAUCAUUGGCAUCAUGCAAUUACUCUUGUAAUUCCUUGAUUGAAUAUAAUUCAAGAUACAUUCUUCCUUUCAAUUGAUCAAAGCUCUGUUGUACAGGUGAACCAUGAGAUCCAGAGACACUGACAUCACAAUUACAGCUGAAAAGCAUUUGGUUGUGGAUUGUUACUGGGGACACUAGUUUCGCUUACCAAUUACAUGUCGCUGCCCUUGAAGGUAAAGUUUUAUUUGGAGAUGCUCUUUGAACUUUGUUGGGUUGUGAUCGAUAUUAGUAGACAAACAUUUCUUGCAUAUUCUUGAAGACUGCUAGUGUGAUUGUUGCCUGUGUUUUUAGUUGGAUUUACCUUUUUGAUUGAUCAUAAGAAUGGCUUUAAACUCA